RNAcentral lists this ribosomal RNA (230 nucleotides) under uncultured bacterium. Its description in RNAcentral is "partial 16S ribosomal RNA". It matches the Rfam family "Bacterial small subunit ribosomal RNA", at positions 562 to 791 of the family's 1533-position model. The record is from RNAcentral.
AAAGGGUGCGUAGGCGGCCUGUUAAGUCAGGGGUGAAAGACGGUAGCUCAACUAUCGCAGUGCCCUUGAUACUGAUGGGCUUGAAUGGACUAGAGGUAGGCGGAAUGAGACAAGUAGCGGUGAAAUGCAUAGAUAUGUCUCAGAACACCGAUUGCGAAGGCAGCUUACUAUGGUCUUAUUGACGCUGAGGCACGAAAGCGUGGGGAUCAAACAGGAUUAGAUACCCUUGU